Molecule: long non-coding RNA, 1772 nt
Organism: Lolium rigidum
Lineage: Eukaryota; Viridiplantae; Streptophyta; Magnoliopsida; Poales; Poaceae
Exons: 11
Source: RefSeq, a predicted model, not a curated record
CUCCGCCGCCACGUCCCAGCUCCGGCUCCGGCUCCUCCUCAACGCCCACGCCGUCGCCGUCAUCAGCAGGUACCUCGCGCGGACGCCUUCUCCUACAAUCCCUGGUCGAGCUCUUCUCCUCCCCUCUUACCGCCUCUUCCUCCUGCUCUAAGUCGCGGCGGAAGCUGCCUAGAGAAGAACCGGCCGCGGCCCUGAGGUGCCGUCAAGGAUCAUGGCCUCCGGUCGCCGGGAGGCGUCCGGUCACAUGGAGGUGAGUGGCCGCUGAGAGGAGGGGAACAGCACGGUGCCAUGGCUAAGGGAGGCAGGGUUUGACAUGGGGGAGUAGGCGAGCGAGAUGUGGACCGACAGAGGGAUUCGGCCUCCACCGCUAGAGAUGGACGCCGACAUUGUAUUGAGGAGAAGCACUGGCCGUUGCAGCCCGCCACGACCUUGGUUCCAGAAGACAUGGUGGCAUUUGCACCACUUACAGGCAACCUAGGUCACUGCCCGAGUUAGUUCUAUCAAGGAGAUGGUUAAUAAUGCCGCGGCUUCACUCCCUGUUAAAGUGAACAAUAUGACGAUGAUUGCAAAUGUCAUUAAUCUUGGCAAGGAAUUCUGGCUCUUUUUCUGGUUACAUAGCAUGCCGUUGUCUCUCUUUGUUGAUUAUAUGAGAUCUUUAUGAUUGCUGAACAAUGGAAGUUCUUCAGAUGUUGUGUCUGUCCUUUGGUUGCUAUAUGUUAUUUGCAAUUUCUACUAUUCUGUAACUCUUGCUUAUAUAGGUAUGUUAUGUGAAUAUCUCGCUGUUAAAUCCACUUUGAAACAUAGUCAUUUAGGGACAUAUAGUAAUAGACUUGCAUAAUCAUGUAUCUGGUUGUCUUCAGUUCGUCCUUUCUGUAAGAGUUAGAUGCUAAUUUUUGUCUGCGUGGGUGACAUGAACCAUUGCUUUGGUCACAGUACAUGCACUGUACCAUAGACACAGGAGCAUGUGGAUAGGUAUACUUGGAUGGUCCACGGGAAUUUCUCAAGGCAUUGCAAGAUAGUUGACAUGAAUGUGAUAAACAGACUACCUAGAAGCUUUAUAAAACGACAAAGAUGGCCGAUCUACAGAAGUUGGUAUGCAUAGACCAGCCAAGCAUGCAUUGUUUGGCAGAUCUGAAGCAUCUGCAGAUCCAUGAGCAUGCCUUGUUUGACAGAUCUGAAGCAACUUAUGGGUACUCAGAUGAUAAAUAGCAGGAGAUGGUGUGGCAAGAAAAGGGGAGUGCAGGCUGCUGCUUAGCUCCAUGUCAGGUGAAGUGCGAGAAGAUCUUUCUUCACGUGGAUAAGGCUGCGUUGAUCCCUGUUUUCUCCGGCCCAGUACAACAGAGUAUAUGUAAAGAGGUAGCGCCUUGGAGGUCUGCAACAAGGACAUGCUGGAGACUUUCUGCUGGUCUUACAAAAGGUGCAGAUUGAUCUGAAUCAAGAAGUAACUAUUUAUGGAUGAAGGGUGGGCAUGAUAAGAUGGCAGAGCUUUUGUCUAUCACGCCAUAUCUGCAUCAUCUCGAACCUCCAGCUGUAGCAGCCGGACGCAUCACUCCUGCUCUCAUCGACCAGCAGGUCGAGUGUGUGAGAUGGAUGAUUUGCCAAGAAAGCAACGACAGCUAAUUGUGAAAGCAGCAGAUGCAGGCUUCUUUUUUACAUGAAUAGUAGUUCAAUUAAUGAUACGCGGUCUGGUUUAUAUGCUACAGAUCCAGCCUUCUUUUUUACAUGAAUAGCAGUUCAAUUAAUUAUACGCGGUCUCCUUUGUAUGCUACAGG